CAUUAGAGCAUUGAGAGGACCUUUCCCUCAUACGAGAGGACCGAGAAGGACGCACCUCUGGUGUACCAGUUAUUGUGCCCACGGUAAAUGUUGGGUAGCCAAGUACAGAGCGGAUAACUGCUGAAAGCAUCUAAGUAGUAAGCCCAUCCAAAGAUGAGUUCUCUCCUAUUCCAAUUUCCACAGAUCUUUCGGUAGCACAGUCGAGACAACGACAGGUUCUCUGCCCCUGUGGGGAUGGAGCGACAGAAGUUUUUUUGAUAAUUUAAGAGAAGGUCACGGCGAGAUGAGCCGUUUAUCAUUACGAUAGGUGUCAACUGGAAGUACAGUGAUGUAUGCAGCUGAGGCAUCCUAAUAGACUGG
Molecule: non-coding RNA, 360 nt
Filed under: Capsicum annuum
Lineage: Eukaryota; Viridiplantae; Streptophyta; Magnoliopsida; Solanales; Solanaceae
Description: Bacterial large subunit ribosomal RNA
Rfam family: Bacterial large subunit ribosomal RNA
Source: Rfam by way of RNAcentral